Molecule: ribosomal RNA, 199 nt
Filed under: uncultured bacterium
Lineage: Bacteria
Description: partial 16S ribosomal RNA
Rfam family: Bacterial small subunit ribosomal RNA
Source: RNAcentral
ACGCUCGACACCUACGGGGGGCAGCAGUGGGGAAUAUUGCACAAUGGGGGAAACCCUGAUGCAGCGACGCCGCGUGAGCGAAGAAGUAUUUCGGUAUGUAAAGCUCUAUCAGCAGGGAAGAUAAUGACGGUACCUGACUAAGAAGCUCCGGCUAAAUACGUGCCAGCAGCCGACGGUAAUCUGAGCGGGCUGGCAAGGC